This is a long non-coding RNA of Octopus sinensis (East Asian common octopus), 5196 nucleotides long. RefSeq lists it as uncharacterized. The transcript is spliced from 6 exons. The record is from RefSeq and is a predicted model, not a curated record. NCBI's taxonomy places the organism in Eukaryota, Metazoa, Mollusca, Cephalopoda, Octopoda, Octopodidae.
AGUGAAAUUUGAUGACAGCAAGAUAAUGGAGCAGAGCAACUAUGACUUAGAUUUGGUGGCAACAGGAACAUGAAGCAGAGCAACUGUAAUUGGAAUGUGGUGACAACAGCAAAGGAGCAGAGCAACUGUGACUGGGAUUUGAUGGCAGUAAGAACAUGGAGCAAAGCAACUGCGACCAGAAGGUGAUGACAACAAAGUGGAACAGGAUAACUAUGACCAGAAUGUGGUGACAACAGGAAUAUGGAGCAGAACAAUUAUGACAGGAAUCUGUAAACUACAAAGCAUAGAGCAGAGCUGCUGUGAAGUCAAUUUGGUGACAAGAAGACUGAUGCAGAAAAAGGGCAGCUGUGGUAUAGAGGUCUUAACAGUAGAAACAAAAGUAAGAGCAAGUGUAACAGAAUGUGGUGGCAACAGCAAGAUAGAGCAGACCAACUUCAACUGGAGUCUGGUGACAGGAAGAAUAAAAUGAGCAACUGUGACAGCAUUGACAGAGAAGUGACUAGGAUUUAUUGACAACAGGAGCAUGAAGCAAAGCAAAUGUCACUGGGUUGUGGUGGCAAUAGGAAUAUGGAUGAGCUUUGAAUUCAGGUGAUACUACAGAAGGAAGAUAAAGUGGACCAGCCGUCAGGUGGUGAUGACUAGAUGGAGUAUAGCAAGUUGACUGAGAAUUGGUUUCAACAAGAAUGUGGAGCAGAACAACUGUGACAUGUGAUGGCAACAAGAACAUUGAGAAGAGCAACUGUGAGUAGAAUGUGUUGAUAACAGCAAGGUGGAGUAGAACACCUAUGAUUAAAUUGUGGAAAUGAGUGGAACAUGGAGCAGGGUAACAGUGACUGGAGUGUGGUAACAACAGGAAUGUGCAGCAAGGGACAGCAGGAAGAUGGACGAGCAACUGUGACUGGCAUGUAGUGAUAUGAAGAUACACAAGUGCAACUCUACUUGAGAACUGGUGAUGAUAAAGGGUAACUGCAUUUGGUAAUGACGACAUCAUGGAACAGGGCAGCAAUGGCUGGGAUUUGUUGAAAAGAGAAACAUGGAGCAGAGCAACUGUGGUGGUUAUGAUGACGGCAGGAAUAUGCAGAGGGGCAACUGUGAGAUAAAGUUGUUGACAACAGGAACAAACAGAAGAGCAACUAUGACUAGAAUGUAGUGACAAUAGCAAAAUGAUGAAUGGAACAUAGAACAGAGCAACUUCAACUGGAAUGUAGUUACAGCAGAGGGAGGGAGCAAAGCAACUGUGAAUUGAGGUGUCAUGACCAAUUUGACAUAGAGGUGGUGACAGCUAAGCAACAAUGACGUUUGUAAUGGCAACAGGAAGAUUUAAAGAGUAACUGAAUGACAUGUGACGACUGGUAUAUGGUAGAGACUGACUGGAAUAUGCAGACAUGGAGCAGCUGUGACAUAGAAGUGCUGAUAAAAGGAAGAAACAAAAGAGCAACUAUGACCAGAAUGUAAUAAAAACAGCAAGAUGGAGUGCAGCAUCUCUGACGGGAAUGUGGUGAUGAGUGGAAUAUGGAGCAGAGCAAUUUUAACUGGUAAAAAUAUUUGAGCAGAGCCACUGUGGGCUAUGGUCAUCAAAACAGCAUGGAAGAGAGCAAGUAUGAGUUAAAGUGCAGGAAGAUGGCAGAAAAUGAGGUGUAAUCAAGAUGUGGUGGUAACGAGAACAUGGAGCAGAGCAAUGGUGGCUUGGAUUUGGUGACAACAGGAAGAUGAAGAAGAACAACUAUGAUGGAUGUGUUGGCAACAAGAACAUGGAAGAGCAGCUGUGACAUGUAUGUGUUGACAUCAGGGACAAACAGAAGAGCGGCUGCGACUGGAAUGUGGUGACAGCAGGAAGAUGAAAGUGAGCAACUGAAUUGUAGUGGGGUGAUCACAAGAUGACAUAAAAAGUGGUGAAAUAGAAGUUUUGACAGCAGCAACAGUGACGUAUGUGAUGGCAACAGAAAGAUUGAAGUAGAGCAACUGUAGGAUGUAGUGAUCAGGGCAGCAUGGAAAAGAGCCACUGUAUCUGGUAUAUGGUGACAACGAAUACAUGGAAGAGAGCAGCUAUACCGUGAAUGGAAUAUGAAAACUGCAGGAACAUGAAGCAAACCAAGUGUAACUUGGAUUUUGUAUCAGGAAGAUGAAGAGCAGCUGUGAGAUAGAGGUGUUGACAACAUGGACAGAGAAGCAGCUGUGACUUGAAUGUGAUGAAAACAAGAUGGAAUGGAGCAGAGCAAUUUCAACAUGAAAUUGGUGACAGCAAAAAGAAGGAAGUGAACAACUGUGAUGUAUGUGAUAACAACAAAAAGAUUGGAGCAGAGCAACUGGGAUAUGGUGAUCAGAGCAUCAUGGGAGAGAGCAAUAAUAAAAGGAAUGUGACAAUAGGAAGAUGGAUGAUAGCAAGUGUGGGUUGAGGUGCUGAGAUUGCAGGAAGAUGAAGCAGAGGAACUGUGAUGUAUGUGAUGGCAACAAGGUUUGGAGAACAGCUGCAACAACUGGUACAUGGGAGAGAGUGACUAUGACUGGAAAAUACAGAAACAUGGAGCAGAACAAUCAAAAUGUGACUUGAAUUUGGUGACCACAGGAAAAUAAAAAAAUGCUACUGUCAUGGAUGCAUUGGCAACAGGAAGAUUAGAAGAAUGACUGACUGGCAUGAGGUGACAACUGGUACAUGGGAGAGAGCAACUGACUGGAAUAUGGAAACUACAAGAACAUGGAGCAGGGCACCUGUGAUGGCAACAGGAACAUUGAAAAGAGUAGCUAUGACAUAGAAGUGUUCACAACAGGAGCAAACCGAAGAGGAACUAUGACUAGAAUAUGGUGACAACAGCAAGAUGGAAUGGAACAUCAAGCAGAGCAACUUUAACUGGAGUGUAGUGACAGCAGGAAGAGAGACGUAAAAAACUGUGACCAAGGGAACAUGAAACAUGGAGCAGAACAACAAUGUUAGAAAUAUGGAAACUGCAGGAACAUGGUGCAAAGCAACCUUUACUGGAAUAUGGAGGCUACUGGAACAUAAAGCAGAGCAAAUGUGACUUGGAUUUGGUGUCAAAAGGAAGAUGGAGAGCAACUGUGAUGGAUGUGUUGGCAAGAGGAAUAAACUGAAGAGAAAAAGUGAGCAGAAGUUAGAGUGGAACAUGGAGCAGAGCACCUUGAACUGGUGAUGACAGCAGGAAGAAGGAGGUGAUUGACUGAGAAUUGCGAUGUCAUGACCACAGUAUGACAUAGAACAGUGAUGACAGAAGUGCAACAGUAACAUCUAUGAUGACGAAGAUUUGAAGAACAACUUGUACAUGUGAGAAAGUGACUGACAGGAACAUGGAGUAGAACAUCUGUGGCCUGAAUGUGAUGAGAACAGCUAGAUGCAAUGGAGCAACUAUGACAAGAAUGUGGUGAUAGCAGAAUAAUGGAAUUGAGCAACCUCGAUGUAUGCGAUGGCAGCAAAAAGAUUGGAGUGGAGCAGCUGUGAGUUGAGAUGCUGAGACUGCAGGAAAGUGAAGCAGAACAGCUGUUAGAGGUGGCAGCAGCAAUGAGAAGACGGAGAAAAUAGUGUAAUCAAGGUGAUGUGGCAACAUAAACAUGGAGCAGAGCAACUGACUGAGAUUUGGUGGCAGCAGUGACAUAGAAUGGAACGCCUAAACUGGAAUGUGGUGAUAACAGGAGGAUGAAGCAGAGCAACUGUGCCUGGCAUGUGGUAACAACUGGUACAUGGAAGAGAGCAACUCUGAUUGAAAUAUGGAAACUGCAGGAACAUAAAGCAGAGCUUAGCAUAAACAUUUACUGGAAUAUGGUGGCAACAAGAACAUGGAGAAGAGCAACUGAGUAGAACAUCCUACAGAGCAACAGAGUAGAACAUCCUACAGAGCAACUUUAACUGGAGAAUGGAGGCAGCAGGAAGAUGGCAGUUAGAAACUGAAUUGAGGUUUUGUGAGCUCAAGAUGACAGAACUGGUAAAAUAGAGGUGGUGGCAGCAGAGCAACUGUGACAUGUGGUGACAACAGGAAGAUUUGAAGAAGAACUGUGACAAGGAAAACGUGGAGCAGAGCAACUUAAACUGAAGUGUGGUAACAAGAAGAUUAGAGUGGACCAGCAUGGAAGAGAACAACUUAGUCUAGAACAUGGUAGAGAGCAACUGAGUUGAGGUGCUGGAAGGUGAAGCAAAGCAGCUGACAGAGAGGUGGUAAAACAUGAAGAUGGAGAAAAUGAAGUGUAAAUCAAGAUUUGGUGGUAGCAGAAUCAUGGAGCAGGACAACUGUGACUUGUGGCAAUUGGUAUAUAGGGAGAGCAACUAUGACUGGAAUAUGGAAACAUGCUGGAACGUGGUGCAGAGCAACUGUGACAACAGGAACAUCAAGCUGAGUGAGUGUGACUUGGAUUUGGUGAUACUAGAACAUGAAGAAAAGCAACUGUGUUGGCAACCAGAGAAGAGCAGCUCUAAGAUGUGUUGACAAUAUUAACAGACAGAAUAGUAACUGACUAGAAUGUGGUGACAUGUGGACCAUGAAGUAGGGUAACUUUAGAGUGGUGACAGCAGGAAGAAAGUAACUGUGACGUAUGUGGUGGCAACAAUAAAAUUUGGGGAACAGCUGUUAGUAAGAUGUGGUGAUCAAAGCAGCAUAGAAGAUUUGAAGAACUGUGACUGGCAUGAGGUGACAACUGAUAUAUGGGAGAGAGCAACUAUGACUGGAAUAUGGAAACUACAAGAACAUGGAACAGGGCAACAGGGACAUUGGAAAGAGUAGCUGUGACAUAGAAGUGUUUACAACAGGAGCAAACAGAAGAGCAAUUGCAACUAGAAUAUGGUGACAACAGCAAGAUAGUGUAGCAACUGUGAGUGGAACAUCAAAUAGAGCAACUAACUUCAACUGAAGUAUGGUGACAGCAGGAAGUGAGAUAUGAAAACUGACUUCAGAUUUUGUGACCAAGACAACAUGGAGCAGCAGUGACAACGGAGCAACUGCAAAGCAUGUAAUGGCAACAGGAAGAUUUGGAGAACAACUGUGACUAGGAUGUGAUCCGAAGAGCAUGGAAGAGAAUGAUUGUGGUUGGUAUGUGGUGGCAACUGGUACAUGGGAGAGAGUGACUGUGGUUGGAAUAUGGAGCAGAAGAAUUUUUACUGAAGUGUCAUGUUAAGAAGAUGGAAAUGGGGCAACUGUACCUCAGAACUUGUGGUAAAGAGUGAUUGAUGCAUGUGGUAACAACAAGAAUGUAGAG